This 253-nucleotide ribosomal RNA is filed under the name uncultured bacterium. Its description in RNAcentral is "partial 16S ribosomal RNA". It matches the Rfam family "Bacterial small subunit ribosomal RNA", at positions 524 to 776 of the family's 1533-position model. The record is from RNAcentral.
UACGUAUGGUGCAAGCGUUAUCCGGAUUUACUGGGUGUAAAGGGAGCGUAGGCGGCGCGUCAAGUCUGAUGUGAAAACCCGAGGCUCAACCACGGGAGUGCAUUGGAAACUGGCGGGCUGGAGUGCCGGAGAGGUAAGCGGAAUUCCUAGUGUAGCGGUGAAAUGCGUAGAUAUUAGGAGGAACACCAGUGGCGAAGGCGGCUUACUGGACGGCAACUGACGCUGAGGCUCGAAAGCGUGGGGAGCAAACAGG